Molecule: ribosomal RNA, 541 nt
Filed under: Saccharomyces cerevisiae (brewer's yeast)
Lineage: Eukaryota; Fungi; Ascomycota; Saccharomycetes; Saccharomycetales; Saccharomycetaceae
Description: partial large subunit ribosomal RNA
Rfam family: Eukaryotic large subunit ribosomal RNA
Source: RNAcentral
GGCGAGUGAGCGGCAAAAGCUCAAAUUUGAAAUCUGGUACCUUCGGUGCCCGAGUUGUAAUUUGGAGAGGGCAACUUUGGGGCCGUUCCUUGUCUAUGUUCCUUGGAACAGGACGUCAUAGAGGGUGAGAAUCCCGUGUGGCGAGGAGUGCGGUUCUUUGUAGAGUGCCUUCGAAGAGUCGAGUUGUUUGGGAAUGCAGCUCUAAGUGGGUGGUAAAUUCCAUCUAAAGCUAAAUAUUGGCGAGAGACCGAUAGCGAACAAGUACAGUGAUGGAAAGAUGAAAAGAACUUUGAAAAGAGAGUGAAAAAGUACGUGAAAUUGUUGAAAGGGAAGGGCAUUUGAUCAGACAUGGUGUUUUGUGCCCUCUGCUCCUUGUGGGUAGGGGAAUCUCGCAUUUCACUGGGCCAGCAUCAGUUUUGGUGGCAGGAUAAAUCCAUAGGAAUGUAGCUUGCCUCGGUAAGUAUUAUAGCCUGUGGGAAUACUGCCAGCUGGGACUGAGGACUGCGACGUAAGUCAAGGAUGCUGGCAUAAUGGUUAUAUG